CAUGUGUAGCGGUGAAAUGCGUAGAUAUAUGGAGGANCACCAGUGGCGAAAGCGGCUCUCUGNUCUGUCACUGACGCUGAGGCUCGAAAGCGUGGGUAGCGAACAGGAUUAGAUACCCUGGUAGUCCACGCCGUAAACGAUGAGUGCUAGGUGUUAGGCCCUUUCCGGGGCUUAGUGCCGGAGCUAACGCAAUAAGCACUCCGCCUGGGGAGUACGACCGCAAGGUUGAAACUCAAAGGAAUUGACGGGGGCCCGUACAAGCGGUGGAGCAUGUGGUUUAAUUCGAAGCAACGCGAAGAACCUUACCAGGUCUUGACAUCCCGAUGCUAUUCUUAGAGAUAGGAAGUUACUUCGGUACAUCGGAGACAGGUGGUGCAUGGUUGUCGUCAGCUCGUGUCGUGAGAUGUUGGGUUAAGUCCCGCAACGAGCGCAACCCUUAUUGUUAGUUGCCAUCAUUAAGUUGGGCACUCUAGCGAGACUGCCGGUAAUAAACCGGAGGAAGGUGGGGAUGACGUCAAAUCAUCAUGCCCCUUAUGACCUGGGCUACACACGUGCUACAAUGGUCGGUACAACGAGUUGCGAGCCGGUGACGGCAAGCUAAUCUCUGAAAGCCGAUCUCAGUUCGGAUUGGAGGCUGCAACUCGCCUCCAUGAAGUCGGAAUCGCUAGUAAUCGCGGAUCAGCACGCCGCGGUGAAUACGUUCCCGGGCCUUGUACACACCGCCCGUCACACCACGAGAGUUUGUAACACCCGAAGUCGGUGAGGUAACCUUUUAGGGGCCAGCCG
This 786-nucleotide ribosomal RNA is filed under the name uncultured bacterium. Its description in RNAcentral is "bacterial SSU rRNA". It matches the Rfam family "Bacterial small subunit ribosomal RNA", at positions 670 to 1455 of the family's 1533-position model. The record is from RNAcentral.